Molecule: ribosomal RNA, 585 nt
Filed under: uncultured bacterium
Lineage: Bacteria
Description: bacterial SSU rRNA
Rfam family: Bacterial small subunit ribosomal RNA
Source: RNAcentral
CCUACGGGAGGCAGCAGUGGGGAAUUUUGGACAAUGGGCGCAAGCCUGAUCCAGCAAUGCCGCGUGAGUGAAGAAGGCCUUCGGGUUGUAAAGCUCUUUUGUCAGGGAAGAAACGGUGGUUCCUAAUACGGACUACUAAUGACGGUACCUGAAGAAUAAGCACCGGCUAACUACGUGCCAGCAGCCGCGGUAAUACGUAGGGUGCAAGCGUUAAUCGGAAUUACUGGGCGUAAAGCGUGCGCAGGCGGUUAUAUAAGUCAGAUGUGAAAUCCCCGGGCUCAACCUGGGAACUGCAUUUGAGACUGUAUGGCUAGAGUGUGUCAGAGGGGGGUAGAAUUCCACGUGUAGCAGUGAAAUGCGUAGAUAUGUGGAGGAAUACCGAUGGCGAAGGCAGCCCCCUGGGAUAACACUGACGCUCAUGCACGAAAGCGUGGGGAGCAAACAGGAUUAGAUACCCUGGUAGUCCACGCCCUAAACGAUGUCUACUAGUUGUCGGGACUUAAUUGUCUUGGUAACGCAGCUAACGCGUGAAGUAGACCGCCUGGGGAGUACGGUCGCAAGAUUAAAACUUAAAUGAAUUGACGG